GAUGAACGCUGGCGGCGUGCCUAAUACAUGCCAGUCGAGCGAACGGACGAGAAGCUUGCUUCUCUGAUGUUAGCGGCGGACGGGUGAGUAACACGUGGAUAACCUACCUAUAAGACUGGGAUAACUUCGGGAAACCGUAGCUAAUACCGGAUAAUAUUUUGAACCGCAUGGUUCAAAAGUGAAAGACGGUCUUGCUGUCACUUAUGGAUGGAUCCGCGCUGCAUUAGCUAGUUGGUAAGGUAACGGCUUACCAAGGCAACGAUGCAUAGCCGACCUGAGAGGGUGAUCGGCCACACUGGAACUGAGACACGGUCCAGACUCCUACGGGAGGCAGCAGUAGGGAAUCUUCCGCAAUGGGCGAAAGCCUGACGGAGCAACGCCGCGUGAGUGAUGAAGGUCUUCGGAUCGUAAAACUCUGUUAUUAGGGAAGAACAUAUGUGUAAGUAACUGUGCACAUCUUGACGGUACCUAAUCAGAAAGCCACGGCUAACUACGUG
RNAcentral lists this ribosomal RNA (497 nucleotides) under uncultured bacterium. RNAcentral's name for it is "partial 16S ribosomal RNA". It matches the Rfam family "Bacterial small subunit ribosomal RNA", at positions 28 to 507 of the family's 1533-position model. The record is from RNAcentral.